RNAcentral lists this ribosomal RNA (490 nucleotides) under uncultured bacterium. RNAcentral describes it as "partial 16S ribosomal RNA". It matches the Rfam family "Bacterial small subunit ribosomal RNA", at positions 30 to 507 of the family's 1533-position model. The record is from RNAcentral.
AUUGAACGCUGGCGGCAGGCCUAACACAUGCAAGUCGAGCGGUAACAGGAAGCAUCUUGCUUCUUUGAGCGCGGGUCGCGGGAGGGUGGGCAAUGACUCGGCCACUGCGUGAUGGAGGAGGUUCACUACUGGGAACGGAUGCUACUACCGCAUAACGUCGCAAGGCCAAGGAGGUUGACCUCCCGCCCUCUCGCCUUCGGCUAUGCCCAGUUGGGAUUAGCUAGUAGGUGGGGUAACGGCACACCUAGGCGACGAUCCGUAGCUGGUCUGAGAGGAUGAUCAGCCACACUGGAACUGAGACACGGUCCAGACUCCUACGGGAGGCAGCAGUGGGGAAUAUUGGACAAUGGGCGAAAGCCUGAUGCAGCCAUGCCGCGUGUGUGAAGAAGGUCUUCGGAUUGUAAAGCACUUUCAGCGGGGAGGAAGGGAAGUAAGUUAAUACCUUGACUCAUUGACGUUACCAGCAGAAGAAGCACCGGCUAACUCCGUG